This is a long non-coding RNA of Pseudopipra pipra, 2196 nucleotides long. RefSeq lists it as uncharacterized. Lineage: Eukaryota; Metazoa; Chordata; Aves; Passeriformes; Pipridae. The transcript is spliced from 4 exons. The record is from RefSeq and is a predicted model, not a curated record.
UUGUGGGGGGACAGCAGGCAUGAGGGGGAAUGGGGAAACUGAGCAAAGGCGUGGGGCAGCUUGGCUGGGGGCUCCGGGAGGGAGCAGAGGGAAGGGAGGCUCAGCGAUGGGGCUGAUGGGGCCUGGACAUUGGUGGGGAGAUGAAGUAUGAGGGCAGUGGAGAGGCCUGGGGCACGUGGGAGCUUUAGAGGGGCAGGUGUGGGAGAGUAGGGUGGUUUGGGGGCAGGUUGGCUGGGGUAAGGCUGAGUGGAGCUGCCUCUCCAGUCAGGAGCAGCUCAGCUACCAGCAGUGACAAUCCCAGGAGGUGGUAGGUGCUAACUCUUGUGCAACUGCCUCACCAAAUGGGUAUAUUUCAGCCUGCCCUUGGCCAAACUGUGUCUGGUUUAUGAUCACAAAAGGAAAAAAAAAAUCUCAUGGACUGAGCACAUGGCCUCCCAAGCUGUAGUCUUGGCUCUCAGUCUUGGUGUUGAACUUGAUUACAGCUGGAGGAAUUCUAAACAGUCCACUUCUCCUUGUCUUGGUGUUUGAGCGCAUUGUGCUCCUGUCUGAACAGAGGAAAUCACUGAGGUGAUUUCUGUAUGUGGCAAGUUGUCUGUGUCAGCCUGGCAGCUUUGUCCAUAAGCAGCAGUGGUUAUUGUCUCUUGGUUUCCCAACCCCACUGUCCUCAAAGCUGCAGCUCUUCACUGGUUCCACAGACCUGCUUUGUCACAAAGUAUCAGUAACUUUGCAGAAGUCACUGCAUCCUCUGCUGUGGAUCAACCUUGGCACCUCUCUGAAUUAUCUUGGCAGACCUGUCUUUCACAUACUAAGGCAUACCUCGGGUUCGAGUAGAAUCCUGCUCUUACGUCAAGCUCAAGCCUCAUUGCUGCUCCCUGCGUUCAGCUGGAAACCGACGGACACCAUUUAUGACUGAAUAUCCUGAGUCACCGAUUCCCAGCUGGCAUGUGCGCUGCAGUUCCGUCUCUUCCUUUCCGACUGCACUCCCUAGAGGAGAUUGGGAACAAUUGCAGUUGUCAGCUCCAGCGUGGUGCGUGCGCUUGUCAGGAACCACACAAUUGGUGGACAGCCCCUGACUACGUCUAUGGGGUGAGCUGCCUGUGAUUUGUUACUGUAAGCCUGAUGUUUCCAUACUGGAAAAUAGAACAGGUGUAGGCAUAUUAAAAUAAAUCAGUUUCUUUAUAUUUACUAGUAAAAUAUCUACGUUGUGGAGAUGGUGAUAGAAUGUCUUCAUUAAAUAAUUGGUGAAGGCCGGUCUCACAGUAAGAUAAAUUGUGUGAAAGUGGAUGAAAACUAAGAAUCUAGAGAGGUGAUGAAAGGUGAAGUAGUUACUCCCUACACUGGCAAAGCUCUGCUAGCAGGAACAUGGGUCCACCAUGCAGGAGCCAACAGGUUACCUGUCAGCCACUCUCGUCGUGCUGUGUUUGUUAUCGUGCUUGUGCAGCAUCCCAAAGAAAGGCUGCUGAAGCUCAGCAGGGAAAUAAUGCAACAUGUUGCUUUGUUAUUUGAUCUGACCAAAACAUUUUCACCAUGCAAUGCUUGAUGCUAGUGUUGUUCGUGGCUCUGGGGGAAGCUGAAACACAAAGCACUUCAUUGAGCUUUUUGAUCCAACAGGUCUUGACAUAUUGCUGCUGGACAUGUCUCUGUGUCUGAUCUGAACUGCGACAGUUCCAUUCUGUCCUGCUAAAAUAACAACAUAUUAAACAAUACUUUCUGUCCGUGCUGUUUCCACCUAUUGACUAAAAAGUUAAAUUCUUACUAAGCUAGUUUUAAUUUUCAUGUCAUAAAAUAUUAGUUAAUGGUCAGCUGAUUUCCCUGGCAUGAAGAUUGUAAAGUAUAUAACACAGAUUAAUGCUUGCCUGGGACCAAAUGAGUUGAAGCAGCUCCUUCUGCUGAAACACAGAGAUGAAAUACAGUGAAAUACAGAGAUGCUCUGCAAAUCAAAUCUUUGUUUACAACAGGUCACCAGUGUUUGCCUGGGACAGUCCAUCCUGUUAGCAGGCACUGAUCCUGCUAUGGAGGAGAUAUGUGGCUUGUGCUGACUCACGAAAGCAGGUGCAAGUUGCAUCAGUGAAAUAAGAAGUGUCUCACCUUAGAAGCGGGAUGUAGGUUUUGGUGUAAGAACUGUUAAAGAACCACCUUUAGAAAAAAGGUGGAGGGGAAAAUAUAUGAGAGACUCUGAAGCCUGACUUGAUGAAA